GCAACUCCGGCAGCCAUCGGCCCAUCACCUAUCACCGCCCAAAUCGCUUCAGUUCACAAGGGCAACAAGGGUACAGGUACUGGAAGUCUACAGGUCAGAUCCUCAUGACAUGAUUUCAUCAAUCGCCGCCAGAACCCAGCAACAAUAAACCAGCUAAUAUAUACCUCAGCAAGACAAAACAAAACCUAGGUGUAACCCACCGUCUGAAGCUUGACUCAGAAGCAGCACCGUAGAAGAAACGAGGAGACACCAGCCACAUAUCUUCGCGCCAUGAUUCAGUUACCUCCCACACCCUCCAGCCGUGCACUGCUAUGAAAACAUCAUUUGCUAUCAGUUCCAACAUUAUUAUGCCCCACCUUAGCGUUUCUUGACUUUCAAGAUUUGUCUGCAAAUAGUUCUAGACAUUAAGCCACCUAAUAAUGAUCAUAUUAACUGGUUAAAGAAACUUGUUUUUCUCUCUUUGUUUUUUUUUCAUCUAAUAACAAUCCAACCGGUAGAUUUUCUUGAGAGUGCAGAUACGAUGAAAGCGAGAGAAAGAAAGAGAAAAUCCAACCGGAUCACCUGCUUCCAUCGUGCAUGAUGGUUUACGACCCCCGGGAAGCUCGGCUUCCUUUCUUUCUUGUUCCUCCGAGUCAAAUAAAGAUCGCUUUGGCGAGAGAACGUGAUCUGUGCCUGCUCCGCCCUCACCCUUGUACUAUUAU
RNAcentral lists this long non-coding RNA (701 nucleotides) under Triticum aestivum (bread wheat). RNAcentral's name for it is "long non-coding RNA (TAES_LNC010508)". The record is from RNAcentral. Lineage: Eukaryota; Viridiplantae; Streptophyta; Magnoliopsida; Poales; Poaceae.